GGUCACAAUGGAUGGGACCCCAUAGGAAACCCCAUAAGUUAUAGGGUCAAUUAUGGGUUUUAGGGCCCCCUUAUGGGGUCUAGGACCCACUUAUGGGGCCCAUUGGGCCCUAUUAGGACCCCAAACCCCCUUAUAGGGUCUAGGACCCCCUUAUGGGGUCUAGGACCCCCUUAUAGGGUCUAGGACCCCCAAACCCAUUUAUGGGGCCCAUUGGAACCCAUUAGGACCCACUUAUGGGGUCUAGGACCCCCCUUAUAGGGUCUAGGACCCACUUAUGGGGUUUUAGGACCCACUUAUGGGGGUUUAGGACCCCCUUUAUAGGGUUUAGGACCCCCUUAUAGGGUCUAGGACCCACUUAUGGGGUCUAGGACCCACUUAUGGGGUUUUAGGCCCCACUUAUGGGGUUUAGGACCCACUUAUGGGGUCUAGGACCCACUUAUGGGGUUAAGGACCCCCCAACCCCCCUUAUGGGGUCUAGGACCCCCUUAUAGGGUUUAGGACCCACUUAUAGGGUCUAGGACCCACUUAUGGGGUUUAGGACCCCCCAACCCCCCUUAUAGGGUUUUAGGACCCCCUUUAUAGGGUCUAGGACCCCCCUUAUAGGGUCUAGGACCCACUUAUGGGGUCUAGGACCCCCCUUUAUAGGGUCUAGGACCCACUUAUAGGGUUUUAGGGCCCCUUAUGGGGUUUUAGGACCCACUUGUUGCUGUGAUGUUUGAGGUGUUUCUUGUAGGUCUCGUCCUGGAACAAGGUUUCGGGCUCGUACUUGUGGCUCCAUUCGUUCCUAUGGGGCUCUAUGGGGCCGGGCGGCUUCGCCUUCUUCCCUUUGCGACCCCGAGAAAUGGGGACGGAAAGGCCUGAAAUGGGCAAAAAGGAAAAGAAAACUUAUUAUUAUGGGGACUUAUGGGGCUGGGGACCCACUUAUGGGGCUGGGGACCCACUUAUGGGGCUGGGGACCCACUUAUGGGGCUGGGGACCCACUUAUGGGGCUGGGGACCCCAUUGAUCCCUAUGGGGACUCACUUAUGGGGCUGGGGACCCACUUAUGGGGCUGGGGAGCCACUUAUGGUCCACUUAUGUGGGCUGGGGUCCCCAUUGGCCCUAUGGGGUCCUCACUUAUGGGGGCUGGGGACAACACA
This 1138-nucleotide long non-coding RNA is filed under the name Coturnix japonica (Japanese quail). Its description in RNAcentral is "lncRNA (ENSCJPG00005001743.1)". Lineage: Eukaryota; Metazoa; Chordata; Aves; Galliformes; Phasianidae. The record is from RNAcentral.